RNAcentral lists this ribosomal RNA (209 nucleotides) under uncultured bacterium. RNAcentral's name for it is "partial 16S ribosomal RNA". It matches the Rfam family "Bacterial small subunit ribosomal RNA", at positions 1291 to 1500 of the family's 1533-position model. The record is from RNAcentral.
GUUCGGAUCGCAGGCUGCAACCCGCCUGCGUGAAGUUGGAAUCGCUAGUAAUCGCGGAUCAGCAUGCCGCGGUGAAUACGUUCCCGGGCCUUGUACACACCGCCCGUCACACCAUGAGAGUCGGGAACACCCGAAGUCCGUAGCCUAACCGCAAGGGGGCGCGGCCGAAGGUGGGUUCGAUAAUUGGGGUGAAGUCGUAACAAGGUACC